UACGUAGGGUGCAAGCGUUGUCCGGAAUUAUUGGGCGUAAAGAGCUCGUAGGCGGUUUGUCGCGUCUGCUGUGAAAUCCCGAGGCUCAACCUCGGGCCUGCAGUGGGUACGGGCAAACUAGAGUGCGGUAGGGGAGAUUGGAAUUCCUGGUGUAGCGGUGGAAUGCGCAGAUAUCAGGAGGAACACCCGUGGCGAAGGCGGCUCUCUGGGACGGUACUGACGCUGAGACGCGAAAGCGUGGGGAGCGAACAGG
This 253-nucleotide ribosomal RNA is filed under the name uncultured bacterium. RNAcentral describes it as "partial 16S ribosomal RNA". It matches the Rfam family "Bacterial small subunit ribosomal RNA", at positions 524 to 776 of the family's 1533-position model. The record is from RNAcentral.